This is a long non-coding RNA of Cygnus olor (mute swan), 239 nucleotides long. RefSeq lists it as uncharacterized. The record is from RefSeq and is a predicted model, not a curated record. The transcript is spliced from 3 exons. Lineage: Eukaryota; Metazoa; Chordata; Aves; Anseriformes; Anatidae.
GGGGAGAUUUAGAUUAGAGGUUAAGAGGAAAUUCUUCACUCAGAGGGUGGUGAGGCACUGGAACAGGUUGCCCAGAGAAGUUGUGGAUGCCCCAUCCCUGGAGGUGUUCAAGACCAGGCUAGAUGAGGCACUGAGCAGCCUGAUCUAGCGGGUGGCAUCCGUGCCCAUGGCAGGGGGAUUGAAACUAGAUGAUCUUUAAGGUCCCUUCCAACCCAAACCAUUCUAUGACCCUGAUUCCA